GGGUGUGAGGGCGACAUGGCUGCGACAUCUGUCACCCCGUUGAUAGGGUUGAUUCAGCUGAUCUGGCUGGCUAGGCUGGUGUCCCCUUCUUCCCUCACCGCUCCACAUCUAUGAACACUCGGUCAAAGAGGAUGACCUUCCCAAAUAGAGGAGGACUGGUCUUCAGUCAAGGGUAUAUGAGUAGCUGCGCUCCCCUGAUUGAACCUCCAAACAGGCUCUCAAGAAUCAUAGUGGAACCUAUCAUGAAGGACUGAGGAUUAUUUUGAUUAUUAUUAUGAGUUAUUUGUUCAU
This 291-nucleotide small nuclear RNA is filed under the name Peromyscus maniculatus bairdii (prairie deer mouse). RNAcentral's name for it is "7SK RNA (ENSPEMG00000028444.1)". It matches the Rfam family "7SK RNA". Rfam says of the family: 7SK was discovered as an abundant small nuclear RNA in the mid-70s but a possible function has only recently been suggested. The record is from RNAcentral. Lineage: Eukaryota; Metazoa; Chordata; Mammalia; Rodentia; Cricetidae.